Daphnia pulex (common water flea) is the source of this 403-nucleotide long non-coding RNA. RefSeq lists it as uncharacterized. The record is from RefSeq and is a predicted model, not a curated record. Lineage: Eukaryota; Metazoa; Arthropoda; Branchiopoda; Diplostraca; Daphniidae. The transcript has 2 exons.
UACCCGAAGGGUUACUGGUCAAAGUUUCGUUUGCAGUAUGGUUUACAUGGGCACCCUCAGUUCUCGUAACACUACACAGAUGGCUUUUUGCAGUUCUCGUAACACAACAUAGAUGGCUGCACUAGUUUUUGGCAAUUAUUGAUUAUAAUCAACAAUUUAAUUGCAUUUCAAUGGCGGUAAUCGAAUUGCAAUAGCUGUUACAGCAGACGAUAAUACAGAGACAUGUGACAGGAUGACAGCAUCGUCUCUAUUGAAUAUGACCAGCAUGACCCAGGAUCGAAGAAACAGCGUAGAGUACCGCCGUUGAUUGUUGGACCAUCUCUAGCCUGUCUUAUUUUUCUUUUCAAAAUUAUCAUCCUGUUGGAGUAAUAUUGUAUGAUAGAAUAGAAGUCACUGUAUGUUA